RNAcentral lists this microRNA precursor (94 nucleotides) under Canis lupus familiaris (dog). RNAcentral's name for it is "mir-8799 microRNA precursor family". It matches the Rfam family "mir-8799 microRNA precursor family". Lineage: Eukaryota; Metazoa; Chordata; Mammalia; Carnivora; Canidae. RNAcentral also lists the same sequence under 1 other name. The record is from Rfam by way of RNAcentral.
GGGGGGAUCACCGGAUCUUGGGCUGUGACCCCCAGGGCCCUGGGCUCAGGGGCCUGUGCCGCUGGAAUCGCCCUCCCUGGCCUCGCAGCCUCCU